CCUACAGGAGACAGCAGUGAGGAAUAUUGGUCAAUGGACGAGAGUCUGAACCAGCCAAGCAGCGUGAAGGAUGACUGCCCUAUGGGUUGUAAACUUCUUUUAUAUGGGAAUAAAAUGUUCCACGUGUGGGAGUUUGUAUGUACCAUAUGAAUAAGGAUCGGCUAACUCCGUGCCAGCAGCCGCGGUAAUACGGAGGAUCCGAGCGUUGUCCGGAUUUAUUGGGUUUAAAGGGAGCGUAGGUGGAUUGUUAAGUCAGUUGUGAAAGUUUGCGGCUCAACCGUAAAAUUGCAGUUGAAACUGGCAGUCUUGAGUACAGUAGAGGUGGGCGGAAUUCGUGGUGUAGCGGUGAAAUGCUUAGAUAUCACGAAGAACACCGAUUGCGAAGGCAGCUCACUGGACUGCAACUGACACUGAGGCUCGAAAGUGUGGGUAUCAAACAGGAUUAGAUACCCCAGUAGUC
Molecule: ribosomal RNA, 460 nt
Filed under: uncultured bacterium
Lineage: Bacteria
Description: partial 16S ribosomal RNA
Rfam family: Bacterial small subunit ribosomal RNA
Source: RNAcentral